UGGCCAUAUUACGUUGAAACAUUGGUUCUCGUUAGAUCACCGGAGUUAAGCAAAGUCGAGCCUGGUCGGUACCUAGAUAGGUGACCGCUGGGGAAUACCAGAUGGUGUAAG
Acanthosepion pharaonis is the source of this 111-nucleotide non-coding RNA. The record is from the annotation of a GenBank genome assembly. NCBI's taxonomy places the organism in Eukaryota, Metazoa, Mollusca, Cephalopoda, Sepiida, Sepiidae.